GAAUUGACGGGGGCCCGCACAAGCGGAGGAACAUGUGGUUUAAUUCGAUGAUACGCGAGGAACCUUACCCGGGCUUGAAUUGCAGAGGAAGGAUUUGGAGACAAUGACGCCCUUCGGGGUCUCUGUGAAGGUGCUGCAUGGUUGUCGUCAGCUCGUGCCGUGAGGUGUCGGCUUAAGUGCCAUAACGAGCGCAACCCCUCUCCUUAGUUGCCAUCAGGUUAAGCUGGGCACUCUGGGGACACUGCCACCGUAAGGUGUGAGGAAGGUGGGGAUGACGUCAAAUCAGCACGGCCCUUACGUCCGGGGCUACACACGUGUUACAAUGGCAGGUACAGAGAGACGGUCCCUUGCAAAAUGGAUCAAAUCCUUAAAGCCUGUCUCAGUUCGGACUGGGGUCUGCAACCCGACCCCACGAAGCUGGAUUCGCUAGUAAUCGCGCAUCAGCCAUGGCGCGGUGAAUACGUUCCCGGGCCUUGUACACACCGCCCGUCAAGCCAUGAAAGCCGGGGGCGCCUAAAGUCCGUGACCGUAAGGAGCGGCCUAGGGCGAAACUGGUAAUUGGGGCUAAGUCGUAACAAGGUAGCCGUACCGGAAGGUGCGGCUGGAACACCUCCUUU
Molecule: ribosomal RNA, 617 nt
Filed under: Segatella copri
Lineage: Bacteria; Pseudomonadati; Bacteroidota; Bacteroidia; Bacteroidales; Prevotellaceae
Description: bacterial SSU rRNA
Rfam family: Bacterial small subunit ribosomal RNA
Source: RNAcentral